UAGUAUUCAUUGACAUAAAACUUGUACACCUCUAUAAUGGAAAUAAAGUGACAGCUCUGCAGAUAAACUACCAAUUCAAUGAAUACUAAAGCUAAAACUGUUUGUAGCAGCUGGAACUGCCCCACAAAUAAUGUUUGCUCAAAACAGUACAACGAACCCCUUGAUCUUCAAGAUCAAAUGCAAAGUUGACCUUGAAAACUUGCUAAGCAGAUAGCACCGAGUUAAUGUAAAAUUUGAUUAUAAACCUUUGGGGCUUCAAUUCAAUUACCCUACUGUCAAUCCAAACCCAAAUUUGUAGUCUUUCUUCUUGUGAUCUAACUCAGCAGAAAGAAUAAAAUUGAGACCCAUAUUUAAGCGUUCUUCUAAGAAAGCCGCUGCACAGCCAUUGGAAUCAAUCUU
RNAcentral lists this unclassified non-coding RNA (399 nucleotides) under Hevea brasiliensis (rubber tree). Lineage: Eukaryota; Viridiplantae; Streptophyta; Magnoliopsida; Malpighiales; Euphorbiaceae. The record is from RNAcentral.